UAGUGUAGAGAGGGACCUCCCAGAA
This 25-nucleotide non-coding RNA is filed under the name Mus musculus (house mouse). Lineage: Eukaryota; Metazoa; Chordata; Mammalia; Rodentia; Muridae. The record is from RNAcentral.